RNAcentral lists this ribosomal RNA (170 nucleotides) under Desulforamulus hydrothermalis Lam5 = DSM 18033. RNAcentral describes it as "Desulfotomaculum hydrothermale Lam5 = DSM 18033 23S rRNA. Bacterial LSU". It matches the Rfam family "Bacterial large subunit ribosomal RNA", at positions 2753 to 2925 of the family's 2925-position model. Lineage: Bacteria; Bacillati; Bacillota; Clostridia; Eubacteriales; Peptococcaceae. The record is from RNAcentral.
GUCCGGACGGGAUAAGUGCUGAAAGCAUCUAAGCACGAAGCCCCCUUCAAGAUGAGGUUUCCCACUGGCAACAGGUAAGAUCCCAUGGAGACUACGUGGUAGAUAGGCCGGGGGUGUAAGCACAGCAAUGUGUUGAGCCGACCGGUACUAAUAGAUCGAGGUCUUGACCU